AAUCACGCAGCAAAAGGGCGCCUGGGGGAUGCCUAUGGCUUCUGGUGGCGAUGAAGGACGUGGCAAGCGACGAAACGCUGUGGGGACCCGCUGGCAGGGGCUGAUCCACAGGUAUCCGAAUGGGGCAACCCACUAUCUUGAAGAGAUAGUACCUCCUUGGAGGGGCGAACGCGGAGAACUGAAACAUCUAAGUACCCGCAGGAAGAGAAAACAAGUCGUGAUUCCGUCAGUAGUGGCGAGCGAAAGCGGAACAGCCCAAACCAUCUGCGUUACGGCGUAGGCGGGGUAGUAGGACCCGACAUCAAGCCAACAAGCGAACUGAAAUGAUCUGGGAAGGUCAACCACAGAGGGUGAGAGUCCCGUACGGGUCAGUGCGUUGGUGGGUUGGGGAUCCUGAGUAGGGGGGGACCGGAGAAAUCCCCUCUGAAUCGGCCGGCACCAUCCGGUAAGGCUAAAUACGACCAGAAGACCGAUAGUGGAGAGUACCGUGAGGGAACGGUGAAAAGCACGGGGAGUACCCGGGUGAAAUAGACCCUGAAACCAGGCGCUUACAAGCGGUCGGAGCUCCUAGUGUGGAGUGACGGCGUGCCUUUUGCAUAAUGAGCCUACGAGUUACCGUCACUGGCGAGGUUAAGUACGUGGACGUACGCAGCCGAAGCGAAAGCGAGUCUGAAUAGGGCGUCGAGUCAGUG
This 692-nucleotide ribosomal RNA is filed under the name Spirosoma liriopis. RNAcentral's name for it is "partial 23S ribosomal RNA". It matches the Rfam family "Bacterial large subunit ribosomal RNA", at positions 1 to 705 of the family's 2925-position model. Lineage: Bacteria; Pseudomonadati; Bacteroidota; Cytophagia; Cytophagales; Cytophagaceae. The record is from RNAcentral.